Molecule: RNA transcript, 8131 nt
Organism: Phyllopteryx taeniolatus (common seadragon)
Lineage: Eukaryota; Metazoa; Chordata; Actinopteri; Syngnathiformes; Syngnathidae
Gene: ccdc102a
Gene name: coiled-coil domain containing 102A
Exons: 11
Source: RefSeq, a predicted model, not a curated record
UGUGAGUCUGAGACGAAAAAAAUAGUUGUAGGAAAACGAACACCGGACGAAAUCUUUGGCAACUGUAAGAGGAAAUCCCUGCUAUUUGACCCGAAUCGAAUACACAUCCCAAGAAGAAAGACUGUUCGGUUCAUAAGUAACGGAAGAAGAUGAUGAUCUUUUGAUCUUGGACUUCAUCAUCAAAUUCAACCCCGUCGAUACCCCUGCCUUUCCUCUUCAACACUGAGCAUGAACCACUCUCCACAUCUGUCUGAAGGAAGCAAGUCGACAGGAGGCGGUCUACUGUGCAGCCUGGGUAUGGAGUCGGACAGGGGGAUACGUUCUGCCCAAAGUGUUGCCCAUAGCCCGAGCCCUAAUGGCGAAACCCCCAGCUCCAGCCCUCCACUGCUGCUUUCAGCUGGCCUAGGAGGCCUGGGCCUGGGAGCCUUGGGCAUCAUGGGCGAGCCUGCCGGGGCAGAUUGGGAAAGCAGAGAAGAGCUGAGGCUCAGAGAGCUCGAGGAAGCCCGCGCCAGAGCAGCUCAGAUGGAGAAAACCAUGAGGUGGUGGUCAGAUUGCACUGCAAACUGGAGAGAGAAAUGGAGCAAGGUUCGUGCAGAGCGUAACCGUGCACGUGAUGAGGUCCGCCAGUUGAGGCAGAGGCUGGAUGCUCUGACCAAGGAGCUGACCAGCGUUCGACGGGAGCGUCAAGAACUUGCAUCAGAGAAUGAGAUGCUACGACAGGACGGUGUACAUCUUCGUAGUGAUUUACCAGCUCCUCUUCCAGUCAUAAGUUCUGCUUUGCCCCCUGCACACCACCUCUGUGCUUUUUCUGCCUCUUCCUCUCCAUCCAUUGCACCCUCUUCGCCCACCUCCUCGUCCUCCUCAACGCAAGUCCAUACUGAUUGCAACCUAGACAAGUUCGGUGAGGCGACAACUGCGUCGCCAGAGCCAGAACCGGUGCGGGACAUGGACAUGAACGCACAAAAAACAGGUCAACAAAAGCAGGACAUGGCCCUUCUUCAGUCUGCGCUGCAUUUACGAACUCCAGUAGGCGAAACUCAAGGGGCCUGGGACAGUCAGAGUGGCAAUGGCGGCCUUAAUCCACCCGGCACUCGCUCAUCUUCUGGUCUGAGCCGGCAAGAACGCAACAGGCAACUCUGGGGAGACAUGAGCACCACAGAGGACGACUUAAGCAGACUCCAUGCCUUACAGCUUCGUCUGGACGAGUCCCAGAAAGUCCUGUCGAAGGAGAGAGAAGACAAGCUUGCAUUGAGUAAGAGCAUUGAGAAGCUGGAGACAGAGCUCAGUCAGUGGAAACUUAAAUAUGAGGAGCUCAGCAAGACUAAACAGGAAGUCCUUAAACAGCUGAAUCUGUUGAGGGAAAUGCAUCAAGAUGAACUUGGGCGCAUAUCGGAAGACCUGGAGGAUGAACUGGGAGCUCGUUCCAGUAUGGACAAGAAACUAGCUGAAUUGCGAACUGAGAUGGAGAGGUUGCAGGUGGAGAAUGCAGCAGAAUGGGGUCGCAGAGAGCGCUUGGAGACAGAGAAACUGGCGCUGGAGAGGGACAACAAGAAGCUGAGGGCUCAGACUGAAGACUUGGAAGAACAGAUGGCGAAGAAGCGCCGCCAGGCUGCGUCGGCCAUCGACACAGACCUCAAGGCCAUCCAGAUGGAGUUGUUUGAGAAAAACAAGGAGUUGGCCGAUCUCCGUCACAUUCAUACAAAGCUGAAGAAACAGUUCCAGGAAAAGACAGCGGAGCUCGGCCAUGCCAACAGGAGGGUGGAGGGCCAUGAGGCUGAAGUCAAAAAGCUGCGACUGCGGGUGGAAGAGCUGAAGAAAGAAUUAGGACAGGCUGAAGACGAGCUGGAUGACUCCCAUAACCAGACAAGGAAACUCCAGAGGUCUUUGGAUGAACAGGUGGAGCAGACAGAGAACCUGCAGGUCCAAUUGGAACACUUACAGUCCAGUCGGCAAACAACGUCGGCCUUAGGAAGGCCGAAAAGCGUGUUUCCCAGCGUCAGUCAACGUCUCAUCAAAUUAUCGGGUCAAGACUGCAUGCAUGCAUGCAUGCAAUGGGGAAUCACCUCCAAACUUCUCUGCUCAGGAUGUGAGACGCAUCUUCAAACAACAAAAGAUUAACAAAGCGGCAGGCCCGGACCACGUGUCCCCAUCCUGCCUCAAAGUCUGCGCGGACCAGCUCGCUCCAGUCUUCGCUCAGAUCUUCAACAGAUCUCUGGAACUGUGCGAAGUUCCAUCCUGUUUCAAACGCUCCACCAUCAUUCCAGUCCCCAAGAAACCUGCAAUCUCGGGUCUGAAUGACUACGGGCCUGUCGCAUUGACAUCUGUGGUCAUGAAGUCCUUUGAACGUCUCGUGCUGGAGCACCUCAAGAGUGUCACAGGUCCCCUGCUGGACCCCCUGCAGUUUGCCUACCAAGCGAACAGAUCUGCGGAUGAUGCAGUCAAUAUGGGACUGCACUUCAUCCUAGAACACCUCGACAGUGCAGGGACCUACGCGAGGAUCCUGUUCGUGGACUUCAGCUCAGCGUUCAACACCAUCAUCCCUGAACUCCUUUCAUCCAAGCUUCUCCAGCUCAGCGUCUCACCUGCCCUCUGCCAGUGGAUUUACAGCUUUCUGAUGGGCAGGACACAGCAGGUGAGGCUGGGGAGGCCACCUCAUCCACACGCAGCCCCAAGGUUGUGUCCUCUCUCCGCUGCUCUUCUCUCUCUACACGAACGACUGCACCUCAGCGCACCCGACUGUCAAACUCCUGAAGUUUGCAGAUGACACCACUGUCAUCGGCCUCAUCAAGGACGGUGACGAGUCUGCAUAUCGACAGGAAGCGGAGCGGCUGGAGCAGCUGGAGCUGUGGUGCGGCCGACACAACCUGGAGCUGAACACGCUCAAGACUGUAGAGAUGAUCGUGGACUUCAGGAGGCAUCCUUCGCCACAGCUGCCCCUCACGUUGUCCAGCUGCCUCGUGUCAACCGUCGAGACUUUCAAGUUCCUGGGAAUUAGUCUCUCAGGACCUGAAGUGGGCAACCAACAUCAACUCCGUCCUCAAAAAGGCCCAGCAGAGGAUGUACUUCCUGCGGCUUCUGAGAAAGCACGGCCUGCCACCGGAGCUGCUGAGGCAGUUCUACACAGCGGUCAUCGAAUCGGUCCUGUGUUCUUCCAUCACAGUCUGGUUUGGUGCUGCUACAAAAAAGGACAAAAUCCGACUACAAUGGACAAUCAAAACUGCUGAAAGGAUUGUCUGUACCCCCCUACCCACCCUUGAGGACUUGCACGCUGCCAGAACUAAGACAAGAGCGUGCAAAAUCCUCUCUGACCCUCCGCAUCCCAGUCACCAGCUCUUCCAGCUCCUUCCCUCAGGUAGGCUCUACCGAUCAAUGCAAACUAGAACUAGCAGACAUUGCAAAACAGCUUCUUCCCUCUUGCGAUCAACUUCUUAAACACCUAACCAACAAUUCCAUUACAACAUGGUGGCAAUUUUUUUACUUGAGUUCAUUGUCACAUUUCUGUGGGGCCAAUUAUACAUUACUCGUGCACUCACUGUAGUAGUCUCACCACGCUGUACUAUUUGCAUAUCUGUUGUUGACCAAUACUGGCCACUCAUGCCAGAGUAGCAUCUGCUCCAUUUGCACACUGAUUGAGGAGUAUCUGCAACAUUUGCACAAUCGACAUUGUCCCAGAUUGUCGCACUACUCGCCACUUUAAACCGCAUCCACUCCUUGAAGUCUCGGCGCCCUUUGCACGAUGGUCAUUGCACCGGACUAUUGCAAUAUUAGUCAUUCGAACUGCUCAAAGUGCUAGAGGACACAAUUGUCCAAAAAAAUCAAUACAAAAUGUAUCGGCAUUACCAGAUAACUAGCAACCCUUUAUUGCUCAGUGACUGUUUUUUUGUUGUCAAUGUCUUUAUGUCUCAAAAGUGUUCUCUGUCAACUGACUGCCUGAUUGCAACCAAAUGUUAUCCAAAAGAACUCUUUUCAACAUAUGUACAGAGAUCACCCGGGUAGAAGCCAUUGGGCAGAUAAAAAUGUAUUUUCAAACCAAAGCCCAAAUGGUGUAUUUUUUUGUCGAGUGGAUUUAUGCACUUUAAGAUGCGCCAUUUCAAAUUGAAUCUCUAAUUUAAAGAUGAAAAUGAGUGGUGGUAAGACAGUUACUUGUCCAUUCCAGAACUGUGACAAUAGGUUCAGGGCGGUGUCUACUUUUUUUAUCCCAUGUCUCAAACACUCACAAAAAAAUGCAUUAUGAGAGACAUUUCAAACUCUUUGACACCAGAUAGUGAAGCAAAUGCGCUGGUAGAGCGCUUAGGUGCGCAAGCAGACAAGACACACGAGCCAAUGCAAGAUGAUACUCAGGACAAUGCUGAAAGUGAGGAAGACACCUCAGUUUCUGUGGACACAGCUGAUGAAUCCCUCUUCCUUAACAGUUUAGCUUUAUUUUACUAGCUGCAAGGAAAACUGUUGCUCCCAUCGUCAGUAAUCCAGACCAUAAUUGAAGAUCUCCAGGAUGUCCAUUAUGUCAGCCAAUCCCAUUUAAUGCAGACACUUAAAAGCAAGUGUUUUCUCCAACUGAAGCCAAACACUCACUGGAGGAUGUAUGGGAUAGAUUGUUUCAGUCAGACCCAAAUUCCUUGGGCAUAAUCAUAUAUCAGGAUUCACUUGAAGUUGUAAAUCCCCUGGGAUCAGCCAAGAGAAAGCAUACGGUUCUUGCUGUAUACUUCUCACUGGCAGAUGUAGCGCCACACUACAGGUCAGGUGCGGAUCAAAUGCAACUGGUAUUAUUUAUGGGGAGAGCAUGAUUACAAAUACUUUGGCCAGGACAAAGUACUGUAUGUGACUCUCUCAUAAGAGACCUGAAAGAGCUGGAGGAAAAUGGCACCCUCAUUUCUAAUGGACACAUUUACAACGGAGCUGUAUGUGCCAUAGCAGGUGACAACCUGGGCUCACGCAAUAUUGGUGGUUUCAGUGAAAACUUUAGAAAGAGCAUUAACAGGUUCUGUGAUAUUGAUCAUGAAACAUCCAGUUCAGAAAACUUUUGGAUGGCUAGAUGGAAACGCAAAGGGCGGCACGGUGGGCGACCGGUUAGAGCGUCAGCCUCACAGUUCUGAGGACCCGGGUUCAAUCCCCGGCCCCGCCUGUGUGGAGUUUGCAUGUUCUCCCCGCGCCUGCGUGGCUUUUCUCCGGGCACUCCGCUUUCCUCCCACAUCCCAAAAAAAACAGUCAUUGGAGACUCUAAAUUGCCCCGUCGGCAUGACUGUGAGUGCGAAUGGUUGUUUGUUUGUAUGUGCCCUGCGAUUGGCUGGCAACCGGUUCAGGGCGUACCCCGCCUCCUGCCCGAUGACAGCUGGGAUGGGCUCCGGCACGCCCGCGACCCUCGUGAGGAGAAGCGCGACAGAAAAUGGAUGGAUGGAAACACAAAGUCUUUGUCUGCUACCCCUCUAUGACAGAUGUCCACCAACAUUCCACAGGACAGAAGCUCUUCAUUUUCAACCAGUCUCGUGUCUUCUCGAAUCUUACUUGCCUGCAAGAGAAAACUGGCCCGUCAGUUUUGAAGUGAACUGGGACAAAAUGCUCACAAUCAUUCAGAAUGUAAAAAGGCUUUUGCCAACAGAGACGACUCAUGAUCCGCUUUACUUGUUGAUGAUAUAAGAAAGAUUGCCGCAAAUCCAAGCAGAGCCCUGUGUCUCAUCAUUGCAAGGAACAUAGACAAUAGACAGUCUCAAGUCAUUUUUUGACACUUUGGAUGACGAAAAAAACAACUGUAGGAGCAGGACAGCAAUCUCUAUUGUUUCAAAUCAAAACACGUUGAACAUUUGAACAGGAACAACACCCUCGCUUGUUGCCGAGAGGUGAUGCCAAAGAGGCUAGAUGAAUGCGAGGACCUGCAGACACCUAGGGCUCCACGCAGUGGCAGCCUGAGCUUCCAUCUAAGGAGAAUCUCUGGAAAAUAAGAGAUUUUUUGGACGAGGGUUCAUCUGGGAUGGAAAAAGCAGAAGUGUUAGAACUGAUGGAGACAACAUACUACUUGCAAUUGAGGUAUGCGCUGGUAACAAGCCCUCUCGUCAAUUGCGACCCCUGCCAAUACCACAACGUCCUUGGUCAGACAUUUCCAUAGACUUUGUGACAGGAUUACCGGCCUCCAAAGGAAAUACCACUGUUCUCACAGUUGUUGACAAGUUCUCUAAGAUGGCACACUUCAUUGCACUGUCGAAACUCCCCUCAGCUAAAGAAACUGCCGAGUUGAUGAUAAACCAGAUAUUCAAGUUUCAUGGUUUUCCCAAGAAUGUGGUAUCGGAUAGGGGCCCCCAAUUCGUUUCACGAUUUUGGAUGGAGUUUUGCAAAUUAAUAGGUGCCACCGUCAGUCUGUCAUCUGGGUUUCAUCCUGAAACCAACAGACAAACUGAGAGGCUGAACCAGGACCUGGACACUGGGUUCAGAUAUCUUGCGUCACAGGAGCCACAAUCCUGGACUCAGAAGCUGGUUUGGGUCGAGUUCUCUCACAAUUCUCUCCCCUCUGCAUCCACUGGUCUAUCCCCUUUUCACAUUGUGCAUGGUUACCAACCAUCUCUGUUUCCUGCCAUAGCCCCAGAGUCCACGGUUCCAUUUGCAUUGACCUUGGUGAGACGCUGCAGGAGGACCUGGGAGCAAGCCCGCCAAAUGCUGCCACGCCAAGGACAGUCCUACAAGACCCCAGCUCGCCGUAAGAGGACACCGGCCCCAAACUACAAAGUGGGACAGCGAGUUUGGCUCUCCACCAAGCAUAUUCCACUCCGGGUGGAGUCCCGGAACCUCGCUCCGAGGUUUGUUGGGCCCUUCCCCAUCACAAAGCUCAUCAACCCUGUCACCAUGAAGCUUAGGCUCCCAAGGUCGAUGCGGGUCCACCCAGGAUUUCAAGUCGGCCUGCUCAAGCCCGCCCGGGAGUCCCCUCUGGUUCUGCCUUCCAGGCCCCUUCCUCCCCCCCGUUUCGUGGACGGGGGCCCCGUCUUCACGGUGAGGUCAGUCUGAUUGAUAAUUCCUUUCAGUGUUUUGACGUUCGGUUUUCGACCCUGGCCCCCCAGUUUCAGUUUUGUCUCUAGAAUACCUCGAUAGUCUUGAGAUUUUAUUGUACCCUGCACAGAUUCAAGAGAACCUGUGCCAGAGGGAUCAAAGCAGCCCCAGAACAUAAAAGAGCCGCCUCCAUGUUUCACAGAAGGGACAUUGUUCUUUUUUUGGUAUACUUGUAAUUCAUUUUUGCAUCUGUGAAAAUAGAGGUGCUGUGCCUUGCUAAAAAGUUGCAGUUUUGUCUCCUCUGUCCAUAGGACAUUCUUCCAGAAGCUUUGUGGCUUGUCAAUAUGCAGUUUGGAAAAUUCCGGUCUCACUUUUUUCAUUAUUUAUUGUCAACAGUGGUGACCUCCUUGUUUGUCUCCCAUGAAUUCCACUUUGGUUCAAACAAUAACGGAUACUGCGAUCUGACACUGAUGUACCUUGACCUUGGAGUUCACCUUUCAUUUCUUUGGAGGUUGUUCUGGGAUCUUUUGUUACCAUUUGUAUUGUCUGUCUCUUCAAUUUGUCAUCAGUUUUCCUCCUGCAGAAACAUCCAGGGAAAAAUUAUCCAAUUAUUUUGAAUCUUGGGGUACCACCAUUUUUGUCUAGGCCUCUUGUUUUUUAAUUUAUGCUGAACCACAUUUCAAAAGCAAUGAAAUAAGGGGUUUGUUUGUAUGUUUUUUUUUUGUGCAUUCUUGUUUUAAAAAACACUUGUGUACAAAUUGUAUUGAUUUGGAACUGUUAUCAAUGCAUAAAACCAAUUUUAAAAAAGUUUGACCAAAAAAAAAAAAAAAAAAGAAUCACGGGAUUGAUUUGAGCAGACGAAAAUUGUACUGAUAACAUUUACAGCCGAUGAAAGGUAUGAGGAUAUGGACGAGUGCAAUAUAAAGAUCAGAGCAAAAUCAUUUGUCUGUUGUGAUUACCAGCAGUCAUGUGUGUUUUCUUUCAUAUUGCAUUGUCUGCAAUAGGGAGUUGGAAAUGUAUUUAGGAAGAUGGACUUUCAGGAGCUUGCCUGACUUCGCCUGUUGCCUUCUUUACUUCAGGUGUCAUAGUGGACCCAACGAGCCUUCAGUAGUGUCAGACGGCCAAUGAGAUUUAAAAUAUACUUUUAAAUCUUAACUUU